GACGAACGCUGGCGGCGUGCUUAACACAUGCAAGUCGAACGGAAAGGCCUCUUUCGGGGGGUACUCGAGUGGCGAACGGGUGAGUAACACGUGAGUAACCUGCCCUUGACUUUGGGAUAACUUCAGGAAACUGGGGCUAAUACCGGAUAGGAGCUCCUGCUGCAUGGUGGGGGUUGGAAAGUUUCGGCGGUUGGGGGUGGACUCGCGGCUUAUCAGCUUGUUGGUGGGGUAGUGGCUUACCAAGGCUUUGACGGGUAGCCGGCCUGAGAGGGUGACCGGCCACAUUGGGACUGAGAUACGGCCCAGACGCCUACGGGAGGCAGCAGUGGGGAAUAUUGCACAAUGGGUGGAAGCCUGAUGCAGCAACGCCGUGUGCGGGAUGACGGUCUUCGGGUUGUAAACCGCUUUCGCUCAUGACGAAGCUUUGUGUGACGGUAGUGGGUAAAGAAGCACCGGCUAACUACGUG
Molecule: ribosomal RNA, 467 nt
Filed under: uncultured bacterium
Lineage: Bacteria
Description: partial 16S ribosomal RNA
Rfam family: Bacterial small subunit ribosomal RNA
Source: RNAcentral